RNAcentral lists this ribosomal RNA (253 nucleotides) under uncultured bacterium. RNAcentral's name for it is "partial 16S ribosomal RNA". It matches the Rfam family "Bacterial small subunit ribosomal RNA", at positions 524 to 776 of the family's 1533-position model. The record is from RNAcentral.
UACGUAGGGUGCAAGCGUUGUCCGGAAUUACUGGGCGUAAAGAGUUCGUAGGCGGUUUGUCGCGUCGUUUGUGAAAACUCACAGCUCAACUGUGAGCCUGCAGGCGAUACGGGCAGACUUGAGUACUGCAGGGGAGACUGGAAUUCCUGGUGUAGCGGUGAAAUACGCAGAUAUCAGGAGGAACACCGGUGGCGAAGGCGGGUCUCUGGGCAGUAACUGACGCUGAGGAACGAAAGCGUGGGUAGCAAACAGG